This 153-nucleotide ribosomal RNA is filed under the name uncultured bacterium. Its description in RNAcentral is "partial 16S ribosomal RNA". It matches the Rfam family "Bacterial small subunit ribosomal RNA", at positions 355 to 507 of the family's 1533-position model. The record is from RNAcentral.
GAGGGAAUAUUGGGCAAUGGACGAGAGUCUGACCCAGCCAUGCCGCGUGCAGGAAGACGGCGUUCUGCGUUGUAAACUGCUUUUAUCUGGAAGAAAAAGUCCAUGCGUGGAAAAUUGCCGGUACCAGAUGAAUAAGCACCGGCUAACUCCGUG